This 375-nucleotide RNase P RNA is filed under the name Planctomycetota bacterium. Its description in RNAcentral is "RNase P RNA component class A". It matches the Rfam family "Bacterial RNase P class A". Rfam says of the family: Ribonuclease P (RNase P) is a ubiquitous endoribonuclease, found in archaea, bacteria and eukarya as well as chloroplasts and mitochondria. Its best characterised activity is the generation of mature 5'-ends of tRNAs by cleaving the 5'-leader elements of precursor-tRNAs. The record is from RNAcentral. Lineage: Bacteria; Pseudomonadati; Planctomycetota.
AGUGUCGUUCGGGCGACCGCAAUCGGUGCAAACUGAUUGAGGAAAGUCCGGGCUCCACAGGGCACGGUGGUGGCUAACAGCCACCGGGGGCAACCCUAGGGAAAGUACCACAGAAAACAAACCGCCUAAGCGACUUCGGUCGCCGGCAAGGUUGAAAAGGCGAGGUAAGAGCUCACCGCGCGUCUGGUGACAGGCGUGGCAAGGUAAACCCCACCGGGAGAAAGUUCACAUAGAGAGGGAUGGCGCGGCUCGCGCCGCUUGACCUCUGGGUAGAGCGUUCGAGGUCGCCGGCAACGGCGAUCCUAGAGGAAUGGUCGCCCUCUCAAGUCUUUAUGGCUGGAGAGACAGAACCCGGCUUACAGAACGACACUCCAC